AGGGGUGUAGUGUUAGUGGCUAGCACGUGGGUUUCCAAAACCUAAAGGUCGGGUUCAAGUCCUGGCACCCCUGCCA
RNAcentral lists this transfer RNA (76 nucleotides) under bacterium. RNAcentral describes it as "tRNA-Trp". It matches the Rfam family "tRNA". From Rfam's summary of the family: Transfer RNA (tRNA) molecules are approximately 80 nucleotides in length. Their secondary structure includes four short double-helical elements and three loops (D, anti-codon, and T loops). Further hydrogen bonds mediate the characteristic L-shaped molecular structure. tRNAs have two regions of fundamental functional importance: the anti-codon, which is responsible for specific mRNA codon recognition, and the 3' end, to which the tRNAs corresponding amino acid is attached (by aminoacyl-tRNA synthetases). tRNAs cope with the degeneracy of the genetic code in two manners: having more than one tRNA (with a specific anti-codon) for a particular amino acid; and 'wobble' base-pairing, i.e. permitting non-standard base-pairing at the 3rd anti-codon position. The record is from RNAcentral.